Homo sapiens (human) is the source of this 4456-nucleotide long non-coding RNA. The record is from Ensembl. Lineage: Eukaryota; Metazoa; Chordata; Mammalia; Primates; Hominidae.
GCCUGCAGCUGCUGUGGGGAGGAAGGCGUUCAAUUAUCAAUUCAUUCCUCAAGUCAGCAAAUACUUAUGGAGCUCCUACUAUGCGCCAGACACUUUUCUGGGUACUGGGAUGUUGUGGUGAACAGGAUAAACAAGAUCCCUGCUCUUACAGAUGGUACAGGCAAGUUGGAGAGAGAAUGUAUACUGAAGCCAAAACAGGAUAACUCCAGCUGGCAAGAAGUGCCAGGAACAGAGUGGACGAAGCAGGGUUACCUGGUGGAGAGCGACUGGGGCUCUUUAAGCCAUCUUGGACUAUGAGGUAACUUUGAAGAUGGAAACCAAGUGCUUGUAUGAUGGAGCAGAAAGAGAGAAGCAGCAAGAGGCCCUGAUAUUCAUGUGAAGCUGGACCUUCCCUGGACUGUGUACCUCAUAUCUCUUUUACCUGGGAUAGAAACAAAUUUCUAUCUUUUAAAACUUCCAUUAUUUGAGGUUUUUAGUUAAAGCAGCCAAGCUGAAUACUGUUGAUCCAAGAUGAAAUAUCAAUUUAUAAAGCUUUUGAUGUAAGUAACUAAACAAAACUUAUGGAAGCUUCAACAUAGGUACGUAUUUUUCCCACAUGAAACAGUGCAGAAGUAUGUGGCUGUUUAAUGAUGUCAUCCAGAGCCCAAGUUCUCUCAACCUUCUGUUCUUUGACCCUUAGAAUAUUGGCCUUAAUCCUAAUGCUUGACAACUCAUGGCUGCAAGAUGGCUGCUACAGCUCUAGGCAUUAUGUCCACAGAGCAAGCAAGAAGGAUGAGGAAGCACCAAAGUUCUGCUCCUCACAGGCUUUGUCUUUUUAUGUGGGAAGAGAAUUCCUCCUGAGCCUAGUUCCCUUAAUAUCUCAUACAGAACUGCAUCUCCUAUGUCUGUGGUGGGAUCCACCUUCUUGAAAUCAAUGGGUCUCUGUUAACCACUGAAAUACACUGGGAUUCUGUUACUAGGAAAGAAGGAAGUGGGGAGAGGCUGUGGAUAGGCCACAGACAGUGAGGAAAGCAAGGCUUACAAAUGCUGCGACAUGCCAAUAUUACAUAGCCAGUUUGUGGAAAACUAGAUUUUGAAUGAAGCUUGAACUUCCAAACCUGGGGUCUUAAUUGCUAUGACAAACUCUCAGGAAGUUUUCAGACACCUUUACUUUCCUUUCUUCAAAUUUUGUUUUUAGAAUCUCUGUCAGAGAUUUUCUAUGGGAAGUCCUAGGUUUCACAGCAUGUGGAAUUGAGAGACAAGAAAGAUCCCUUCCAACUUAAGCUUCUAGAGCAGCUCUGUCUAAUAGAACUUUUGAAAUGGAAAUGUUCUAUGCUGUGCUAAUACAGUAACCACUACCCACAUGUGGCGAUUUAGGACCUGAAAUAUGGCAAUUGUGACUGAGGAAUGGAAUUUUUAAUUUCAUCUAAUUUUAAUUUAAAUAGCCACAUGUGGCUAGUAGCCACUGUAUUGAACAGCACAGUUCCAAAGCUUCAAAUUAUUUGUUCUCAAAAUUCUAAGAUUCAACCUAAAUGCUAAGAAUCAACAAAAUUCCACCGCCAAAACAGAACUUUUUGUUUUCAAGAAGUAAUGGCCCACUGCUGCUUUGUAUGAGAUGGUGUUAAAGGCCAGCAGACAUAAUAGUUUUAUGAAGGAAGUUCAGUGUGGAUAUAAUCAUGUUAUAAAUAAAUAUUGGUACAUAGAAUCUGCCUGCUAAAAAUACUGAUUUAUGGAACUUCAAGUUUGCUUACAGCAAAUCAAGCUUGUAUUUCUGAAGUGUCAGGAGGACAGCUCUUUGGCCCAAGAAGAAAAAACCUACAGCAAGCAGAGCUAGAGAGUGGGGGCAUGGGUUAGCAGGGGAAAGCAGUGAGUCUCCUAUUAGUUCUGAGGCAGAGCUGGUGGUAUUAUUAUUGCUACAAAAGCCUAUAAUGACUUUCCCCUGAGCCAAUAGUAAGUUCAGAUCUUGUUUUCUAGGACCCAGUUAGUUUAAAUGCUGUAUUGUGUGUGUGUGUAUACACAUACACACACACACACACUUUUUUUGAUUUAUUAUUUUUUAAUUCUGUAUAUUAUGAUGUUUUGAGAUCUGUAUGAUUAUAUCCCCCAAAAAUUCAUAUUUUGGAAUCCUAACCCCAUUAGUUAUUGAGGGUGGAGCCCUCAUAAAUGGCAUUAGUGUACGAUAUAGUUUGGAUAUUUGUCCCUGCCCAAAUCUCUUGUUGAUUUGUAAUCCCCAGAGCUAGAGGUGGGGCCUGGUGGGAGGUGUUUGAGUCAUGGGGGCGAAUCCCUCAAGGCUUGGUGCUGUCUUCAUGAUAGUGAGUUUCUGCAAGAUCUGGUCUUUUAAAAGUGUGUGGCACCUCCCUUCAAUUCUCUUUCUUGCUCCUGAUUUUGCCAUGUGACAUGCCUGCUCCCACUUCACCUUCUGUCAUGAGUAAAAGCUUCCCAGAGCCCUCCCCAGAAUCAGAUGCUGGUGCCAUGCUUCCUGUACAGCCCGCAGAGCUGUGAGCCAAUUAAACCUCUUUUCUUAUAAAUUACCCAGCCUCAGGUAUUUCUUUAUAGCAAUGCAAGAAUGGCCUAAGACAGUGUCCUUAUAAAAGAGGCCCAAGAGAGACCAUUUGCCCCUUCCACCAUGUGAGGUUAUGGUGAGAAAACCAGCUUUCUGUGAAGCAGAAGAUGAGCCCUCACUAGACACUGUAUCUGCCUGUUCCUUGAUCUUUGACUUCCCAGCCUCCAGAACUGUGAGAAAUAAGUUUCUGUUGUUUAUAAGUGUUUUGGUUUAUGGUAUGUUAUAGCAGACUGAAUGGACUAAGACAGCAUCUUAGAAAAACUUUUCUGGCUCAGGAGUGACUAAACCCUCCAGGGACUUCUCAGAGAUAGCAAGUGUUCAGCCAGGAGCGUGCCUUUGAUAGGCAAACUAACCAAUCCAGAGCCACCCCUCCUGUCUCUGGCCUGUACACCCAGGAGACAAUACUCCUCUGCCGUAAUCAUCCCAGAAACAAGUACCAGCCAACUAGGACCCCAUCUCCACUAUCAUUUAGAACCUGCUAAAAUUAUUCAGACUCACCAAAUGCUAAACUAUUUGCCUUGUCUUGUCUUUCCCAUGGAAACCCCGACAAAAGCUCUGGUCUAGUGCCUUUCCCUUGAUCCUGUCUCCUGCCUCCUGACCCUCCUGAUGUCUUUCCAUUGUGGUCCUGGGUGACAUGCCAUGCUUCCUAUCUCCAGGACCUAUGAAUAUAACAAAUUUUGUUUUCCUGAGCCUCUCCUCUGUCUCCUCUUGUGGCCACAUCCAAGUUACCAUAUCACAAAAGAAAAUGAAACAAAUGCUUUGCCCUAAUAUUGUGUCUAGGCCAGGUGUGGUGGCAUUUUGGGAGGCCGAGGCGGGCAGAUCACCUGUGGUCAGGAGUUUGAGCCCAGCCUGGCCAACACGGCGAAACCCCGUCUCUACUAAAAAUACAAAAAUUAGAUGGGUGUGGUGGUGAGCACCUGUAAUCCCAGCUACUUGGGAGGCUGAGGCAGGAGAAUCACUUGAACGUGGGAGGUGGAGGUUGCAGUGAGCUGAGAUUGUGCCACUGCACUCCAGCCUGGGCGACAAGAGCAAAACUCCAUCUUAAAAGAAAAAAAAAAUAUAUUGUGUCUAAAGAGAUGAGGCUAUUUUAACAUGAGUCCAUCUUAUAGCAACUGAAGUGAACUGUACCUUGGAAAAGCAAGCAAUUUUGUCUUUUGCAUCUGUUAAUUUGGUUCAGGAGGAAAAAACACUUCUGGGUAAUUUAGUUUUUUUUUUUUUUUAAUGUUAGAUUGCUGACCAGUGAACCUACAUCAGAGAAAUAAAACAAACCUGUUUUAGCUUAUUAGUAUUUUCUGUUUCACAAAUCCAUUCCCUUCUAUUGACAACACUAAAAGCAAAAUGAAUGAUUGUAAUGGUGUUGGGAUAGUAUGUACUCUGUUAUUCUCUGCUAGGGGAAGGGAAGUUUGAGAGUCCAUCCUGGGUAGCCUGACUGUUAGACUUGGCAUUUGGAAAACCCCAAAUGGCAUCUAACUAACUAACUUGUAUUGUUUUGGGUUUUGACUGAUUUCCCUGAAGUUUGUAGCAUGGGUAUUUUUAUAGGAUUUUUGUUUAUUUUGUUUUGCUGUGCCAGGUUUCCCACUCCUAAAAAACAAAAGGGCAUGAUUGGCAGCAGGAACUCCGAGCUUCGCGGUGCACCAGGGUUGAUAGGGUUUGGAUGUUUGUCCCCUCCAAAUCUCGUGUUGAAAUGAGAUUCUCAAUGCUGGGGGUAGGGCCUGCUGGGAGGUGUUUGGGUCAGGGGGUGGAUUCCUUGUGAAUGGCUUGGUGCUGUCCCUGCUAUUAUAUAAUGAGUUCACGUGAGAUCUGGUUGUUUAAAAGCUUGUAGCACUUCACCCCUCCCACCUCACUCCCUCUCUCGUCAUGUGAUGCGCCUACUCCCACUUCACCUUCUACCAUGACUGAAAGCUUCCUGAGGCC